CUGGGCCAAAGUGAUUAUAGUUGGGCAGGAGAAUUGUUGGAUCUGUCUCUUCUGUAUCAUAUUGCUUGAAAUCUAGAAGAAAAAGAGAAUAGUAUCAGUAUACUGAGUCCCGCCAUCAAUGAAUCGAGUGAAGGUCCUGCGCUCACUUCAUGAACAUAGAGUAAAGAAUCCCUGGAGCUUCUCCCUUCUGUGGGCCGCGAAAUGAAGAAAAGACUGUGAAGGGCGCAGGACGCCUCACCUGCUGACGAACGCCGAAGACAAGGAAGACAAAUAGAAACUCUUAAACUUGGAAUUUUAGGGUCCAUGCACACUAUGCAAAUUCCGCUUCAAAUUUUUCAAUUGUGAAAUUCCGCUUGCAGUAACCUCUUGCGGAAUCGGCACUUAACGGCGGUUAUGGCAUUAAAGGGGUACUCCACCCCUAGACAUAUUACCCUUUUUCCCAGUGGCGGGACCCCCGAGAUCUCGGCUGUGGCACCCAAGUCAUCAAGUGCACGGAGAAAACUUCACCGGAUGACUGGCGAUGCGGUGCGGAGG
Molecule: long non-coding RNA, 534 nt
Organism: Hyla sarda
Lineage: Eukaryota; Metazoa; Chordata; Amphibia; Anura; Hylidae
Exons: 3
Source: RefSeq, a predicted model, not a curated record